UACGGAGGAUGCGAGCGUUAUCCGGAUUUAUUGGGUUUAAAGGGUGCGUAGGCGGAAUAAUAAGUCAGUGGUGAAACCCUGCAGCUUAACUGUAGACUUGCCAUUGAUACUGUUUUUCUUGAGUAUGGUCAAGGCAGGCGGAAUGUGUAAUGUAGCGGUGAAAUGCUUAGAUAUUACACAGAACACCGAUAGCGAAGGCAGCUUGCUGGGCCGUUACUGACGCUGAUGCACGAAAGCGUGGGGAUCGAACAGGAUUAGAUACCCUAGUAGUCC
This 273-nucleotide ribosomal RNA is filed under the name uncultured prokaryote. Its description in RNAcentral is "partial 16S ribosomal RNA". It matches the Rfam family "Bacterial small subunit ribosomal RNA", at positions 524 to 796 of the family's 1533-position model. The record is from RNAcentral.